Molecule: ribosomal RNA, 492 nt
Filed under: uncultured bacterium
Lineage: Bacteria
Description: partial 16S ribosomal RNA
Rfam family: Bacterial small subunit ribosomal RNA
Source: RNAcentral
AGUGAACGCUGGCGGUAGGCCUAACACAUGCAAGUCGAACGGCAGCACCUUAAGAGCUUGCUCUUACGGGUGGCGAGUGGCGGACGGGUGAGGAAUACAUCGGAAUCUACUUUUUCGUGGGGGAUAACGUAGGGAAACUUACGCUAAUACCGCAUACGACCUACGGGUGAAAGCAAGAGAUCUUCUGACCUUGCGCGGUUGAAUGAGCCGAUGUCGGAUUAGCUAGUUGGCGGGGUAAAGGCCCACCAAGGCGACGAUCCGUAGCUGGUCUGAGAGGAUGAUCAGCCACACUGGAACUGAGACACGGUCGAGACUCCUACGGGAGGCAGCAGUGGGGAAUAUUGGACAAGGGGGGAAAGCCGGAUCCAGCGAUACCGCGUGGGUGAAGAAGGCCCUCGGGUGGGAGAGCCCUUUUGUUGGGAAAGAAAAGCAGCAGGUUAAUACCCCGAUGUACUGACGGUACCCAAAGAAUAAGCACCGGCUAACUUUGUG